UUACNNAGUACUAUGAAUGUUGUAAAUUUAAAACUCAAAGAACUUGGCGGUGUUUUAGACCAUUUAGGGGAACCUGUCUCGUAAUCGACAAUCCACGUUAUACCUGACCUUUUUUUGUUUUCAGUUUGUAUACCGUUGUCGUCAGGUAACUUUUUAGAAGGUAGAAGUUGGCUAGAAAAAUAGAUAAUUUAGUACGUCAAAUCAAGGUGCAGCUAAUAGAAGGGGGAGGAUGGGUUACAAUUAUAUAUUUAUAAUUACGGAUGAUUGCAUGAAGGUGUAAUGUUUGAAAGGAGGACUUGAAAGUAAAUUAGAUUUUAUAAAAAUAAAUUUGAAUAAGGCUCUGAAACGUGU
RNAcentral lists this ribosomal RNA (351 nucleotides) under Terebra stearnsii. RNAcentral's name for it is "Cinguloterebra stearnsii partial 12S ribosomal RNA". Lineage: Eukaryota; Metazoa; Mollusca; Gastropoda; Neogastropoda; Terebridae. The record is from RNAcentral.